Molecule: ribosomal RNA, 253 nt
Filed under: uncultured bacterium
Lineage: Bacteria
Description: partial 16S ribosomal RNA
Rfam family: Bacterial small subunit ribosomal RNA
Source: RNAcentral
UACGGAGGGUGCGAGCGUUGUCCGGAUUUAUUGGGUUUAAAGGGUGCGUAGGUGGCUAUUUAAGUCAGUGGUGAAAUACAGCCGCUCAACGGUUGAGGUGCCAUUGAUACUGAUUAGCUUGAAAUAAUUGGAGGCUGCCGGAAUGGAUGGUGUAGCGGUGAAAUGCAUAGAUAUCAUCCAGAACACCGAUUGCGAAGGCAGGUGGCUACGAUUUAUUUGACACUGAGGCACGAAAGCAUGGGGAGCAAACAGG